Molecule: ribosomal RNA, 517 nt
Filed under: marine sponge bacterium PLATEglyarg-(2)-12
Lineage: Bacteria
Description: partial 16S ribosomal RNA
Rfam family: Bacterial small subunit ribosomal RNA
Source: RNAcentral
GGCGGACGGGUUAGUAACGCGUGGGAAUAUACCCUUCUCUACGGAAUAGCCUCGGGAAACUGAGAGUAAUACCGUAUACGCCCUUCGGGGGAAAGAUUUAUCGGANANNGAUUANCCCGCGUAAGAUUAGAUAGUUGGUGGGGUAAUGGCCUACCAAGUCUACGAUCUUUANCUGGUUUUAGAGGAUGAUCAGCAACACUGGGACUGAGACACGGCCCANACUCCUACGGGAGGCAGCNGUGGGGAAUCUUANACAAUGGGCGAAAGCCUGAUCUAGCCAUGCCGCGUGAGUGAUGAAGGCCUUAGGGUCGUAAAGCUCUUUCNCCAGGGAUGAUAAUGACAGUACCUGGUAAAGAAGCCCCGGCUAACUCCGUGCCANCNNCCGCGGUAAUACGGAGGGGGCUAGCGUUGUUCGNAAUUACUGGGCGUAAAGCGCACGUAGGCGGAUCANAAAGUAAGGGGNGAAAUCCCNAGGNUCAACCUCGGAACUGCCUCUUAAACUCCUGGUCUUGAGUUC